AACGAACGCUGGCGGCAGGCCUAACACAUGCAAGUCGAACGCUCCGCAAGGGGGAGUGGCGCACGGGUGAGUAACACGUGGGAACCUACCUUCUGGUACGGAACAACCAAGGGAAACUUUGGCUAAGACCCGUAUACGACCUCCGGGUGAAAGAUUGAUCGCCGGAAGAGGGGCCCGCGUCCGAUUAGGUAGUUGGUGAGGUAACGGCUCACCAAGCCUUCGAUCGGUAGCUGGUCUGAGAGGAUGACCAGCCACACUGGGACUGAGACACGGCCCAGACUCCUACGGAGGCAGCAGUGGGGAAUAUUGGACAAUGGGCGCAAGCCUGAUCCAGCCAUGCCGCGUGAAGUGAU
RNAcentral lists this ribosomal RNA (353 nucleotides) under uncultured bacterium. Its description in RNAcentral is "bacterial SSU rRNA". It matches the Rfam family "Bacterial small subunit ribosomal RNA", at positions 29 to 409 of the family's 1533-position model. The record is from RNAcentral.